RNAcentral lists this ribosomal RNA (645 nucleotides) under uncultured Candidatus Poseidoniales archaeon. Its description in RNAcentral is "bacterial SSU rRNA". It matches the Rfam family "Archaeal small subunit ribosomal RNA", at positions 277 to 923 of the family's 1478-position model. The record is from RNAcentral. Lineage: Archaea; Methanobacteriati; Thermoplasmatota; Candidatus Poseidoniia; Candidatus Poseidoniales.
UGGGAGACAUCGCCCGGAGAUGGAUUCUGAGACACGAAUCCAGACCCUACGGGGUGCAGCAGGCGCGAAAACUUGGCAAUGCGAGAAAUCGUGACCAGGGAACUCCAAGUGCAUCGGGUAAGACCGAUGCUUUUCUUGACUCUUCAAAGGUCUUGGAAUAAGGGGUGGGUAAGGACGGUGCCAGCCGCCGCGGUAAUACCGGCGCCUCAAGUGGUAGUCGCUUUUAUUGGGCCUAAAACGUCCGUAGCCGGUUUGGUACAUUCGUGGGUAAAUCAAGGCGCUCAACGUCUUGAAUUCUGCGAGCACGGCCAGACUUGGGACCGGGUGAGGUGUGGGGUACUCUCAGGGUAGGGGUAAAAUCCUGUCAUCCUGAGAGGACCACCUGUUGCGAAGGCGCCACACUAGAACGGAUCCGACGGUCAGGGACGAAGCCUAGGGGCACGAACCGGAUUAGAUACCCGGGUAGUCCUAGGUGUAAACGCUGUAGACUUGAUGUUGGGAGUGCUCCGAGCACCCUCAGUGUCGAAGCGAAGGUGAUAAGUCCACUGCCUGGGGAGUACGGUCGCAAGGCUGAAACUUAAAGGAAUUGGCGGGGGAGCACUGCAACCUGAGGAUUGUGCGGUUUAAUUGGACUCAACGCCGGAA